UGGAGCUGCUAGUCUCGUCGAACCUCCUUUUCGACUUGAUUUCUCUGUUUCGUGCGUUUGUUUCUGAACUGCUCAUCUGAAACCAAGAAGAAAAGAAAGUUAGCAUUGUCGAUAAAAGGUAGUAUCGAUCGAUGGGUUAUACUGAACAUCGAUCGAUAUUGUCGUGUCGGAACAAUCGAACAAGAGAGCAUCGGUCGAUGCGAACGAGUUCAUAUCGACCGAUGUCGAAUCGCGAAACCUGCAACAUCACUCUAUUCCAAAUCGCGUUUAUACGAAUUAAAAGACAUAGAAAUCACAAACCGAACUCUAGAUAAGCAAUAUGAACUACAAAAACUUCUCUCAAUCACACCAAAUCAAGCUUUCUAGUCCAACUCAAAACGAAAACCCUAAUGUUUCGAAAUAUUGAAAAUUUCGAGUGCAUACCUUGUAUGUUGAUUUUGGGAGUGGAUUUAACAGUUACAGAGUGAAAGAUCGAGUGGAUUUAGGUGAAAAACGGACGAAAUCCGUCAAGAAUCGAGAGAAAAAAGGGUUGUUUUUGUUUUCGGUUUCAGUUGCGAAUGAGGAAGAGGAAUGGGUCGAUAUCGAGUGAAAUAAGUGUUUUAACCGUCGAUAUGCCCGCAUCGAUCGAUGGCAGUGAUGCCUCGUCGAUCGAUGUCCUCUUCAAAGACAAAUCCUAAUUUCUAAAUCUCCUAAAUAAUGCUAAUAAUAAGAAGAAAUAUGGAAAUUACUAUUAAAUAUAGAAAUUACUAUUAUAUUGUAUUAUUAAUUUAAUUAAUUUUUUUUUUUUUUAUAAAAUGGGUUGCCUCCCAUUCAGCGCUUAAUUUUUAAGUCUUUAGCUCGACUACCUGAUUAAGCUAAUUAUCAGGUUCAUACAACACCAUGGGCGCUUUUGCUGGUGGUUUUGCCCAAUAAUGCUUAACUCGUUGGCCGUUCACUGUAAAUUCCUGGCCUUUAUCAUUUUGUAAAGUGAUAGCUCCGGAAGGUUGAACGUUUGUUACG
RNAcentral lists this long non-coding RNA (999 nucleotides) under Brassica rapa (field mustard). RNAcentral's name for it is "long non-coding RNA (BRAP_LNC003616)". The record is from RNAcentral. Lineage: Eukaryota; Viridiplantae; Streptophyta; Magnoliopsida; Brassicales; Brassicaceae.